GGGGGCGACAGGCUUCGACGGGUGGUCGAAGGUGAGCGUUGCGUGUCGAGGGGGUCACCACCUCGUUAAUCCAGUGGCAAAUUGGUAGUGAUAACUGCCGAUGACAACUACGCACUCGCUGCCUAGCUGAAACUAGCGUUAGCGACACCCGUCCGUGACGUCUCCUAGCGGGUCGCGGGUGACAUCAGGAGGCUGGUCCCCGGUCGCUGACAGACCGUCCCGGGGGCGAGAACCAUGUCUGUCUGGGUGUGGCUUCUCCUGUCCUCGUGACUGGCCCCACCGAGAUUGAGCGAGGACUACGCACGUAGACGCGCUGACUGGAUGCCAUGCGGACGCGGGUUCGAUUCCCGCCGCCUCCACCA
This 362-nucleotide transfer-messenger RNA is filed under the name bacterium. RNAcentral describes it as "GCA-2729515 sp019310965 Standard tmRNA". It matches the Rfam family "transfer-messenger RNA". From Rfam's summary of the family: Bacterial tmRNA, also known as 10Sa RNA or SsrA, is named for its dual tRNA and mRNA-like properties. Its role is to liberate the mRNA from a stalled ribosome. To accomplish this part of the tmRNA is used as a reading frame that ends in a translation stop signal. RNAcentral also lists the same sequence under 2 other names. The record is from RNAcentral.